GUGGGGAAUAUUGCACAAUGGGGGAAACCCUGAUGCAGCGACGCCGCGUGAGUGAAGAAGUAUUUCGGUACGUAAAGCUCUAUCAGCAAGGAAGAAAAUGACGGUACUUGACUAAGAAGCCCCGGCUAACUACGUGCCAGCAGCCGCGGUAAUACGUAGGGGGCAAGCGUUAUCCGGAUUUACUGGGUGUAAAGGGAGCGUAGACGGUAUGGUAAGUCAGAUGUGAAAGCCCGGGGCUCAACCCCGGGAAUGCAUUUGAAACUAUCAGACUAGAGUGCAGGAGAGGUAAGUGGAAUUCCUAGUGUAGCGGUGAAAUGCGUAGAUAUUAGGAGGAACACCAGUGGCGAAGGCGGCUUACUGGACUGUAACUGACGUUGAGGCUCGAAAGCGUGGGGAGCAAACAGGAUUAGAAACCCGAGUAGUCC
RNAcentral lists this ribosomal RNA (425 nucleotides) under uncultured bacterium. RNAcentral describes it as "partial 16S ribosomal RNA". It matches the Rfam family "Bacterial small subunit ribosomal RNA", at positions 354 to 796 of the family's 1533-position model. The record is from RNAcentral.